RNAcentral lists this long non-coding RNA (201 nucleotides) under Mytilus galloprovincialis (Mediterranean mussel). Lineage: Eukaryota; Metazoa; Mollusca; Bivalvia; Mytilida; Mytilidae. The record is from RNAcentral.
CCCCUUAACUGUAUCGCAUGUCCUUAAUGCAAGAACGUAAACAAAUGUAAACAUCGGCAAUGCAUGCAAAUAUGAAAGAAAUCUGUUCACUUAUUUGACUUCUGUGGAUGUGCCUUUUAAUAAUCAUGACUUUUUGUACUCAAUCCAAUUCUGAUAAUACAAACAAACAGAUACACACCCACCAACUACACCAUCACCCGA